Molecule: long non-coding RNA, 5406 nt
Organism: Seriola aureovittata
Lineage: Eukaryota; Metazoa; Chordata; Actinopteri; Carangiformes; Carangidae
Exons: 9
Source: RefSeq, a predicted model, not a curated record
GUCCAUUCAACUACAUUCAGUCCGACUGUUCACCUGUUACUGAAACCAUGCUCCACUUCAGACUCAGCAGCACACUGUUAUUGGCAGUGACCUGUUCGCUCGUGACAGCAGACGUGUCCACAGAAACAGUUAUCACCUGUGACAAUGGCAACGACGUCCAACGGUGGUAUGACUGAACUCUAAAGGUGGUGAAUGCUACAUUUAAGCUGGAAGAUGUAAACAAACUGACCAAAUCAAUGUUGUGGGUUGAACAACCAUGUAGGUCGUUUUCUUUUUUUUUUAAAUAACCCACAGGGGCGUGUCCUGAAAUAGCGCCGCUACGGUGCCCGGCGUAUCGAACCUCAGUUGUCAGGGUUACAAAAAUAAACAGGCGGAACGAGAGCGGUGUACGUAUCUUCGUUACCAUGGUUACUAUAAAACGGCCAUGGCUUGGUUAGGUUUAGGAAAAGAUCGUGAUUUGGGUUCACACAAGUACUUCCUCAAUAUUAGACCAUCUUUGUUGUCAUGGUUACAAUAAUAACAACGCGGUUAACUUUGUCGAACGGUCAUGAAUAAAAGAAACGACAUAAACUGCUACUUUCACAUGGGGAUAGAAAUCACCUCUUCCUGAUAUGGACUCGUCAUCGCACUUUCCUCUUUGUUCCUGCUGUAAUUCCUACGACCACUAGAUGUCGCCUAAUAACAAGACAUAACUACCACUGAGCAAGCAACGUCUGUGGACGUCCAAUUCUAGUUGAUAUCACGUCCGUCCGUCCAGGCCACAAUCUGGACGUCUAUAUGUGAGCCAGAACUAGUCGAUAACUGACAUUGAGUGAAGUAGUGCAGCCUGACCCAAUUUUGGACGUCUACUUACAGACAGAACUAGUUGAAAAUAGACGUUCUGACAGGCCACAAUCUGAACGUAUAUAUGACAGCCAGAACUAGUCGAUAAACGACCUGAGUGAAGUAGUCUAGCCUGGCCCAAUUUUGAACGUCUACUUACAGACAGAACUAGUUGAAAAUAGACGUUUAGAAAGGCCACAAUCUGGACGUCUAUAUGACAGCCAGAACUAGUCGAUAAACGACCUGAGUGAAGUAGUCCAGCCUGGCCCAAUUUUGGACGUCUAUAUUCAACCAGAACUAGUUGUAAUGAGACGUUCUGACCGACCACAAUCUGGACGUCUGUUUGACAGCCUGAAUUAGUUAAUAAAUGACACUGAGUGAAGUAGUCCAGCCUGGCCCAAUUAUGGACGUAUACCAAAAUUAGUUGAAAGCAGACGUUCCGACAGGCUGCAAUCUAAAGUCCAGUGAUGAACUGAGUUGGUAUAGAAUUCUGAGAGGCUAUCAUUUGGACAUAUUGAUAACCAUAAUCAGUUGGCACUAAUGCUGAGACUUUAAGGUUGACCAUAUCAGCAUGCCACAUACUGACAAGUUGAGAAAGAGGACAUCCAUUUUGACCAAAAAGAUCAAAGAAUAUGCCAGAUGGACAGGGAAAGGCUGGCUGGCUGGCUAGUGAAAUUGUCCUGACAGCUAUUUGUACCUUUGUUUCCUGGAUCACAGAUUACCUGACACAAUUCAGCCACAAUUUGUCAGGUUGGGGAACUGUGCUUCUCGGAGUCACAAAAACUGCCUUCUACUGAACACCUCAAAGACAAAGGAAAUGAUUGUGGAUUUCCGCAGGUCUAAGCCCCUUCUUCAGCCAGUGAACAUCUGUGGGGUGGACAUUGAGGUGGUGCACACCUACAAAUAUCUAGGGGUCAUCAUGGAUGAAGAUGGACUGGUCCCCUAAGACCGAUGCCCUCUACAGGAAGGGGCAGAUCCACCUGUUCUUCCUGCGGACACUGAGGUCCUUUGAUGUGUGUGUGGAGAUGAUGACCAUGUUCUACCACACGGUGGAGGCCAGUGCACUCUUCUUUGCUGCAGUGUGUUGGGGAGGCAGCCUUACAGACAAAAACACCAAGGGCUGGACAAGCUGGUCAAAAAAGCGGGCUCAGUGUUGGGCAGGAGUCUGGACCCACUAAGAUCUAUGGUGGAGAGGGGCACACUGAACAAACUGAAAGCUAUAAUGGACAAUAGCAGACACCCAGCCUCCUGGAGCAACAGAGGAGCAGAUGCAGCAGUCGUCUCCUCUCACUGCGCUGCAGAACGGAGCAAUUCAGGAGAUCCUUUGUCCCCACAGCAAUAAGACUCCUCCUGAAUUUUUGGAUUUUUAAUAUUAACGUGCUAAUUUCUUUGUUCUAUGUCUUGAUGAGCUUCUGGAUUUCUGAAUUUGCCUUCGGGGAUGAAUAAAGUAUUUCUAUCUUUCUAUUUCUAUCAAUCUAUCACCAUGUGAUAUAGGCCUACAGGCCUACCUUUUAUCCAUGUGUGGGUUUAUGUUACUUGCAACUUGUUGCCAUGCAAAUAUAAUAGUAUUUUGAAUUCAAAAUCACAGUAAAGGCUAAUAUAAACAAGCCAAGACCUGAGUACCUGGAGAAAUAUAUAUAUUUUCAUCAUAAAUGUUGCAUUUUGGUGUAUUUCCAUCAGGUUUACUGUUACAAUUGUUGUAUAGGAGUUGGGAAACAAAUUCAGCAGAAAAAUUGGCUAGCUGGAACUUAAGUUAAUGAGUGCUUUAUUGUUAUAGUGCAUUUUUACAAGGCAAGGAUAAAAAGUUCCUUCGUUGCAUCUUAGAAAUGGUUUAAAUAUGGAUUCAUGUUAGCUUCUUUCAAAAGUGACCAGAAUAAUGAAUAUAGGCCAUAUGGUUGAUGAGUUAUUCCUGAUUUUUGCAGGUUUUGCCUCCGGAUUCAGAGAUUAAAAAAAACUUUUUCCCAUAAUUCUAUGCAGUAGAUUAAUCUAUCUAUACACAUAUUCCCCGUUUGUUAAUAAUAAUUUGUCAUUUUUUAUAGAAUAUCGAAUAUUUUUUAUUUAACAACUGUCUCUGUGGUUUGGUAUUUAAAACAUUUUUGGCUGUAAGGUCGUACAGUAUUAAUAAAGUUCGGUUGAAUUAACCAAUCACGUUCUUGUUACCAGACUGAUAUCCUUCCGCUGUGAAAGUAGUUCUACUUUAUAGUGGUGAUUAAUAAUUUAAUUGGGACUCGCAGUGGUUAACAUUGCCAUUAACGACAUAGUUCAACCUUUUAUGAAAUGACAUUGCUUUUUUAAUCGAGCCAACUUGCCAGGAAAUUUUUCUAUCUGUCGCACGGAUGGAUAUGAAGUCUGCAAGGAAUUGUACAAUCACGCAGUGGACUUGGCAGUUACUCGGCUCGGCAGUUAGCUCGGCAGUUACUCGGCUCGUGCAGAUCUUAAGGUCCACCUACUUCUCAGAAGCCCACGGAGAGCAGGUCCGGUGGUGAUGAAAGGUCUCUUUCCAUUCCUCUUGCGAAAUCCAGCACUUCCACCAGAUUCCCUAUCUCUCAAGCAAAGUUCCAGAAAAUUGUUAUAUCAAAACUUGUGACACUGCACGAUGAAAUAAAGAAGCUGCAGAGGAGUGAAGCAAAUUCUGCAACACACAUCGAGAAGAUGCAGUCUUUAGAAGACUUUAACCAGAUGGAGGAAUCAUUGUCUGGCUCUGACAAUUUCAAUAAUUUGGUUCAUCGGCUGGCAAGAGUGGGUGGUAAAGAUGUAAAAGACUGCACACACAAAGUGCUUGACAGGCUCUUCACCAACCAACUCAUGUCCCUUUUCAACUUGAAGGGAAAAAAGAAAAGAUGGGCCUGGAAAACACAAAGGUGUUUACUGUCAUAAAAGCUGCUGUUAUGCAAUGGGAUUCUGCUGCGACGGAGGCGCAAAUCAGAUCUGCAGCCGCAGAUCACCUGAAGCAUGCCCCGGGACGAGUUGGAGGAGGAGGUUACAAUUAGGUUUUUUUAGCAAGGGAAUUUUUACUCAUUUCUAAUUUUAAAUACUUUUAUAUAUUUAUAGUUUUGUUAGUUUCGUUUUGUUCAUUGUUCACUGUUGUAAAAAGUUUUUUAAAUGUGUUCGUGGCUUUUCAUCAAAGUCCUUGAAUAAAAUUCGAUAGUGUGAAUCUUAAAUCAGCAAAUUACCUGUCAUCAUUACAUCUAUCCCCAGCAGUGUUACAGCUCACCCCAGUGGGGAGGUUGUAACUAUGGAAUUCCUUGUAUUAGACGUUCACUUCGAUAAUUAAUGAAGUCCAAUAGUUUUAUGUGUUGUAGACAAAUAUGGAUACUGUGUGUCAACAACUGUUUAGUCAUUGAUGAUCAAACAGAAAGUGAUACUAUAUCAUAUCAUAUAAGAAUGAAUGCUCACUCACUCACUGUCACACACAGAUCCAAGUUGUCUAUUUCUGCUCAAACAUGCAUUCUUCACUUUUUAUGUUUGUGUCAAUUUGAGGACAGUGGAACUUUAUACUAAUUAUCUUUAACGUUUAUCCAUUUUUUAAUAUCUGAUUAGCAACUCUGGUCAUCACUCAUCUAAUCAGUACAGGACAUUAGUGGUUAAUUGUAGUGUGUGCAUUUCAUUCAUGUCAGUGAAGGGUACUACUUUUAUAAGCUGUUCUCAUUAGUAACCAAGUUUGAAUUUUUAACGUUUAAUGUCCUGAAAAGAUGUGGCCUAUAUUGACCUCAUGGAUAUCGUCUUCUGGAUGUCCAAUAAUUGUGUCCUUAACACGUACUUUUAUGACAUCUAUAAAACGUCCAGAAGAGACAUCUUUAAAACGUCCGGGAAAGACGUAUUAAAAACUUUCAUUCUGGCUCCUCUGAGAACGUCUUGUGGAUGUUCGGAUAUCACGUCUUUUUGACGUGUUUUGGACCACUUUUUGCUCAGUGGACCAGACAUCUUGUACUUGGCCAGUGGGAGCUGCAGAUGUCUGAGGGUAAAAUUACUUAUCCAACAGAUUAUCUUUACACUAUUAAAAAGAUGGUAAUUUUGAUUAAUCUCCAACAUCUCAGGACCAAUGUCCUCACAGCCUGCCACAAUCUUGUAUGUACAGUAUAAGGCUGAAUCUGACUCGUAUUGAGCUUCCCUCUCUAGUUUUUCAGACUGCUUACCUGGACUUUUUCUUAUCAUGUGUCACAUCUAUAAUCAAUCUGAUCUGACUUUUGGUUGUGUGGCUCUAUAUACAUCCACCCAAGACAAAAAAAUUCAAAUUCAUUGUGAAUGAUCCAGAUCUACCACAAAAUCUAAUGGGUUCUUCCGUGGCCCUUCCCUCAUCCCUCAACCAAGUUUGGUGCAAAUCAGUUCAACUUUUUGAGUUGUCCUGCUGUCCUCAAACCCAUUUAGCAUUUUUUCCAUCAGUCUGUCCGAAACACAGAUGAGCUUGUCCCUCGGGUUCACUGUCCUUUUUCUAAGCUAAAAAGCGAUUUGAAAUAUUUGUGAUUCAACAGUAAUUACACAGAAAAACUACAGCUCCCAUAAACAUUUACCAGUGUGGCAGUGCAGGAUCUUGCAUCAUACCCUGGUUUCAUCUAUAUCCAUAAAAUCCAUAAAAUCUGUGUU